ACACUUACCUGGCAGGGGCAACACUGUGAUCAUGAAGGUGGUUUUCCCAGGGUAAGACUUAUCCAUUGCACUCUGGAUGUGCUGACCCCUGAGAUUUCCACAAAUGCAGGAAAUCUGACUACACAAUUUGAGGUAGUGGGGAACUGCAUUGUGCUCUCCCCUA
Mesocricetus auratus (golden hamster) is the source of this 163-nucleotide small nuclear RNA. Its record names the gene U1. It matches the Rfam family "U1 spliceosomal RNA". From Rfam's summary of the family: U1 is a small nuclear RNA (snRNA) component of the spliceosome (involved in pre-mRNA splicing). The record is from Ensembl. Lineage: Eukaryota; Metazoa; Chordata; Mammalia; Rodentia; Cricetidae.